This 504-nucleotide ribosomal RNA is filed under the name uncultured bacterium. RNAcentral describes it as "partial 16S ribosomal RNA". It matches the Rfam family "Bacterial small subunit ribosomal RNA", at positions 30 to 523 of the family's 1533-position model. The record is from RNAcentral.
AUUGAACGCUGGCGGCAGGCCUAACACAUGCAAGUCGAGCGGUAGCACAGAGAGCUUGCUCUUGGGUGACGAGUGGCGGACGGGUGAGUAAUGUCUGGGAAACUGCCCGAUGGAGGGGGAUAACUACUGGAAACGGUAGCUAAUACCGCAUAACGUCUUAGGACCAAAGUGGGGGACCUACGGGCCUAACACAAUCGGAUGUGCCCAGAUGGGAUUAGCUAGUAGGUGGGGUAAUGGUUCACCUAGGCGACGAUCCCUAGCUGGUCUGAGAGGAUGACCAGCCACACUGGAACUGAGACACGGUCCAGACUCCUACGGGAGGCAGCAGUGGGGAAUAUUGCACAAUGGGCGCAAGCCUGAUGCAGCCAUGCCGCGUGUAUGAAGAAGGCCUUCGGGUUGUAAAGUACUUUCAGCGGGGAGGAAGGCGGUGGAGUUAAUAACUUCACCGAUUGACGUUACCCGCAGAAGAAGCACCGGCUAACUCCGUGCCAGCCGCCGCGGUAA